This 479-nucleotide ribosomal RNA is filed under the name uncultured anaerobic ammonium-oxidizing bacterium. Its description in RNAcentral is "bacterial SSU rRNA". It matches the Rfam family "Bacterial small subunit ribosomal RNA", at positions 364 to 833 of the family's 1533-position model. The record is from RNAcentral.
UUUCGCAAUGCCCGAAAGGGUGACGAAGCGACGCCGCGUGCGGGAAGAAGGCCUUCGGGUUGUAAACCGCUGUCGGGAGUUAAGAAAUGUAAGGAUGUUAAUAGCAUCUUUGCUUGACUAAGGCUCCGGAGGAAGCCACGGCUAACUCUGUGCCAGCAGCCGCGGUAAUACAGAGGCGGCAAGCGUUGUUCGGAAUUAUUGGGCGUAAAGAGCACGUAGGCGGCUAUGUAAGUCGGUUGUGAAAGCCUUCCGCUCAACGGGAGAACAGCAUCCGAUACUGCAUGGCUUGAGUGCGGGAGGGGAGAGUGGAACUUCUGGUGGAGCGGUGAAAUGCGUAGAUAUCAGAAGGAACGCCGGCGGCGAAAGCGGCUCUCUGGCCCAUAACUGACGCUGAGUGUGCGAAAGUUAGGGGAGCAAACGGGAUUAGAUACCCCGGUAGUCCUAGCCGUAAACGAUGGGCACUAAGUAGAGGGGUUUUA